Molecule: ribosomal RNA, 354 nt
Filed under: uncultured bacterium
Lineage: Bacteria
Description: bacterial SSU rRNA
Rfam family: Bacterial small subunit ribosomal RNA
Source: RNAcentral
GGGCCCGCACAAGCGGUGGAGCAUGUGGUUUAAUUCGACGCAACGCGAAGAACCUUACCAGCUCUUGACAUUGCUAAGUCGCGAGUUUUAGAGAUAAAACUCUUCAGUUCGGCUGGACUUAGUACAGGUGCUGCAUGGCUGUCGUCAGCUCGUGUCGUGAGAUGUUGGUUAAGUCCCGCAACGAGCGCAACCCUUGUCCUUAGUUGCCAGCAAUUCGGUUGGGCACUCUAGGGAGACUGCCGGUGAUAAACCGGAGGAAGGCGGGGAUGACGUCAAGUCCUCAUGGCCCUUACGGGCUGGGCUACACACGUGCUACAAUGGCGUCUACAUGGGUCGCAAUAGGGCAACCUAAAG